GCCAGCCGCCGCGGUAAUACAGAGGUCCCAAGCGUUGUUCGGAUUCAUUGGGCGUAAAGGGUGCGUAGGUGGCCUGGUAAGUCGGGUGUGAAAUCUCGGAGCUUAACUGCGGAACUGCCAUUCGAUACUGAUAGCCUUGAGUUUGGUUAAGGUAGGCGGAAUAUGUAAUGUAGCGGUGAAAUGCUUAGAUAUGACACAGAACACCAAUUGCGAAGGCAGCUU
This 222-nucleotide ribosomal RNA is filed under the name Staphylococcus aureus. Its description in RNAcentral is "partial 16S ribosomal RNA". It matches the Rfam family "Bacterial small subunit ribosomal RNA", at positions 507 to 727 of the family's 1533-position model. Lineage: Bacteria; Bacillati; Bacillota; Bacilli; Caryophanales; Staphylococcaceae. The record is from RNAcentral.